Molecule: ribosomal RNA, 434 nt
Filed under: uncultured bacterium
Lineage: Bacteria
Description: bacterial SSU rRNA
Rfam family: Bacterial small subunit ribosomal RNA
Source: RNAcentral
AUGCAAGUCGAACGGUAAGGCCCUUCGGGGUACACGAGUGGCGAACGGGUGAGUAACACGUGGGUGAUCUGCCCUGCACUUCGGGAUAAGCUUGGGAAACUGGGUCUAAUACCGGAUAGGACCACGGUCUGCAUGGAUUGUGGUGGAAAGCUUUUGCGGUGUGGGAUGGGCCCGCGGCCUAUCAGCUUGUUGGUGGGGUGAUGGCUACCAAGGCGACGACGGGUAGCCGGCCUGAGAGGGUGUCCGGCCACACUGGGACUGAGAUACGGCCCAGACUCCUACGGGAGGCAGCAGUGGGGAAUAUUGCACAAUGGGCGCAAGCCUGAUGCAGCGACGCCGCGUGGGGGAUGACGGCCUUCGGGUUGUAAACCUCUUUCAGCAGGGACGAAGGGUGACUGACGGUACCUGUAGAAGAAGCACCGGCCAACUACGUG